GAUGAACGCUAGCGGCAGGCCUAACACAUGCAAGUCGAGGGGUAUAGGCUUUCGGGCCUAGAGACCGGCGCACGGGUGCGUAACGCGUAUGCAAUCUACCUUGUACAGGGGGAUAGCCCAGAGAAAUUUGGAUUAAUACCCCAUGGUAUUUUAGGGUGGCAUCACCUUAUUAUUAAAGUUCCAACGGUACAAGAUGAGCAUGCGUCCCAUUAGCUAGUUGGUAUGGUAACGGCAUACCAAGGCAAUGAUGGGUAGGGGUCCUGAGAGGGAGAUCCCCCACACUGGUACUGAGACACGGACCAGACUCCUACGGGAGGCAGCAGUGAGGAAUAUUGGUCAAUGGGCGCAAGCCUGAACCAGCCAUGCCGCGUGUAGGAUGACGCAUCUAUGGUGUGUAAACUGCUUUUGUACGGGAAGAAACCACUCUACGUGUAGAGUAUUGACGGUACCGUAAGAAUAAGGAUCGGCUAACUCCGUGCCAGCAGCCGCCGCCG
Molecule: ribosomal RNA, 494 nt
Filed under: uncultured bacterium
Lineage: Bacteria
Description: partial 16S ribosomal RNA
Rfam family: Bacterial small subunit ribosomal RNA
Source: RNAcentral